UUUUGAUUAAUUGGGAAGGAAUGUUGCAAAUGAGUUGUAAUUGAAAUGCAUUUAUCAUAUCUCAACCAAAUAAUAUAAAUAUACAGGGAUUUAGUGUCCACACCAUUGGUCUCAAAACUGGCGUUUUCAAGUUACUGACUAGAAACAACCAUGAACAUAAAACUUCUAGCGACACUUUUGAUGGUGGGUCUAAUGGUGUCCACAGUCAGCGCAGUCACCUGCAAGGUCGGAUGUAAUAACUCGCUCAGAAUCUGUACAGCAGGAUGCAAGCCAAAACCAUUCACGGAGAGAAGGAAGUGCAACAGCAACUGCGAGACCGUUUCCGACCUCUGCCAAAAGGGCUGCGACAGAAACAAACCCACUCCAUGGAAGAACUAGGCCAUGUAUACUGAAAUUUUCAGUAAACAUUUGAAAUAAAGAAACAUUGCAAACUGUUUAGAA
Long non-coding RNA from Magallana angulata, 441 nucleotides. RefSeq lists it as uncharacterized. The transcript has 3 exons. Lineage: Eukaryota; Metazoa; Mollusca; Bivalvia; Ostreida; Ostreidae. The record is from RefSeq and is a predicted model, not a curated record.